Molecule: long non-coding RNA, 734 nt
Organism: Phyllostomus discolor (pale spear-nosed bat)
Lineage: Eukaryota; Metazoa; Chordata; Mammalia; Chiroptera; Phyllostomidae
Exons: 3
Source: RefSeq, a predicted model, not a curated record
UCCCUCUCUUCCUAAAAAUAAAUAAAUAAAAGAAAAGGGGAGAAGGUACAAAACAAGAAAAAAAUAUUUUCAAAUGUAGCAAUAAAAAUACAGUUAUUCCUCAGUUAACAUCAUUGAUAUAUUCUGUGACUAAGUGAACUAACAUAACAAAACCAUGGCAGAAUUUUACCAUAGGCUAACUGAAAUAAGUAAAAGUUAAGUUCCUAUGGCAUCUCAACAUAACAAAAUGACAGUGAACGAAAGAUGUUUUUUAGAAGACCUGCUAUAGUCACUCCUCAACUUACAAUGGUGUUAUGUUCCAAUAAAUUAGUCACAGUAAGUUGAAAAUCCCGUAAGUUGAAAAUGCAUCUAACCUACUGAACAUCAUAGUUUAGCCUGGCCUUAAAUGUGCUCAAAACACUUAUAUUAAUCAACAGUUGGGCAUAAGCAUCUAACAGUGAAUACACUGUAGUCUAUCAGUUGUCUGCUCUUGUGACUGCAUGCCUGACAGGGGGCUGUACUCACUAUUGCUGUCCAGCACCACCAGAAAGUAUGUAACACAUAUCAUGAGCCCAGAAACUGACCAAAAUUCAAAGUUCAAAGCAUUUCUAUUGAAUGCAUAUCACUUUCACGCCAUCAUAAAGUAAAAAAAAAUUUUAAUUUGAAUCAUUGUAAAUUGGGGACCAUCUGUAUUCCCCCUCGCUAGAAACCACAGUAUUAGAAAAAUUCAAAGAAUCACCUGAAGAAGAGGAAGA